Molecule: ribosomal RNA, 59 nt
Filed under: Fibroidium sp. MUMH 2450
Lineage: Eukaryota; Fungi; Ascomycota; Leotiomycetes; Helotiales; Erysiphaceae
Description: partial 28S ribosomal RNA
Rfam family: Eukaryotic large subunit ribosomal RNA
Source: RNAcentral
AUGACCUCGGAUCAGGUAGGGAUACCCGCUGAACUUAAGCAUAUCAAUAAGCGGAGGGA